RNAcentral lists this long non-coding RNA (489 nucleotides) under Mus caroli (Ryukyu mouse). Its description in RNAcentral is "RIKEN cDNA 9230117E06 gene (MGP_CAROLIEiJ_G0002959.1)". Lineage: Eukaryota; Metazoa; Chordata; Mammalia; Rodentia; Muridae. The record is from RNAcentral.
GAGUCAGCGGAACAACUUUGAGUCCGGGAGGAGACUCGUAGUCAAUGCACCCGGAAAAGUCCCCGCUUGUCUCCCAUUCUGUCUCCGCUUGUGUUUCCAGGCGGUGGGGAUGAUUUCCUGCUGUUACAGCUUGGGAUGCAGUGAAGGGCAGCAUCAGGAUCUGAAUGGAGUCCUCCUGAGUUGGCUGACCAGGAGCUGGUGAAUCCUUUGCAGGCUGUGGUGUGGAGUGACCACGUCUGGAAGCUCCUCUCUCAUGUACCUCCAGAGGCUCGCUCCUCAGAUCUGUCACUCACCUGCCUACCUUCACCUGGUCCUCACCUGCCCUCCCCUCUGUCUUUCAGAGUCAUCUUUUGAUCACACCACCUGGGACUACCCACCACUGUCCCCUGAAUGUAGAAAUGGUGCCUGUCCUAAUCACAUGUCAUCCUAGCCCCAACGCCCAAAAGCUUACUCUCAUGAAUAAGCAGUGAAAAGAGUGAUUAUUAAGAG